UGCAGCUGUUGAAAUAUUUACUGUACCUUUCUAUUGCUUGUGCUGGUUCCACAGCUAAGACGAGGAACACCAGUAGACAGAUGGGAGACCCCAUGUUCCCUGUUUGGAGGGCUGUGCACAGAAUGAAUCCCCUCUGUUGUCCUGCAAAUCUUUUAUACUUCUCUUGGUGUCAGUAAGAGCCAGGAGUAUGAUGUCCAUCCACAACUCCUGGACAUGGAUACGGAAAACACAAGAAUUGCGUUUGGACAAUCAGCUCCAGACUCCUAAGAGGCAGCUGCAGGAGCGGCCUAUUGAACACUGAACACUUCCAUUUAAAAAUUGAUCACCAUAUCAAAAGGACUCAGAUAAUCAUCAUAUCAGAGCUUCUACUCCCCAAAACAUGAAAUCCAUGAAAUCUUCUUUGAGGUUCAGGCUAGCUCAGGAGGGAGUGACCACUGUGUUUCCAUGGAGAGCAGGACACAAAAGGGUGUGGCGUGGGAACAUCUCCAAGGGUCAGGAGUGAAGGUCAGGAGGUCAAGGGUCACAACCAGCUGGACAGCACACAAGAGGAGAGGAGGGUGAGAAAAGGGGGAAGAGGGCCAACCCAGAGGCCGACACUGGACCCAAAGGGACAUUAACAUUGAACUGAUGGGAGGCCCAUACUGACCACGGCCUUUUCAUGGAGAACCUAGGCUAAGACACACUCGUGGGUAAUGGUCCGUGAUAAUUGACAAGUGACAAGCUUAUUUUCAAUGCAGAUGCAAAUGCAGCAGUCAAAAUGCAGCGGCAGAUCACAAGGAUGAAAAAACAUUUUCACAUUUUAUUCUGCAUGUCUCUUUCUGUUAUGAAUACAGUUAUUCAGCCCUACCCAUAGUGUUACAUUUUUAUCUUUCUUUCUUUCUUUCAAACUCCAAAACCUCCAAAAAUACACUUAAAUGUAAUUUAUUGUUUGGCCCAUCUGACUCAAUCGAAACCAUAGCCAGUAAUCUGGAGGGGGGGGGGGGGGGAUCUUUCCACAAAUGUGCAUAAUCAGGCCAAACAAUCUUUAAUUCUUCCUAUUAUUGGAUGGAAAAAUACAUUUUGUUGUUAAAGGUAACUUGUUCCAGCUCAGGACAAUUGCCAAAUGAAAACCCAUCCUCUCUUUCAAAGAUUUAGAGGUUCUUAUAAACACUUAAAUCUCUUCCCGCCUUGACCACAGCAACUCCUUGUGUAUGGGAGUCUUUCGGUCUCGCCUCCAGCUGGUCAGAAUGCAGCUGCUAGGUUCUUCACUGGCUCCAGUAAGAGGGACCACAUUUCCCUCACUCUGGCCUCUCUUCACGGCUUCAAAUUAGAUCUACAUUUUUUUUAAUCCUUUGCGUUUAGAGCAAUACAUGGAUUAGCACCACUUUAUAUUUCUGACCUUUGCAGUCUCCACAACACAUUGAGGUCUCUCAGAUCCUCAAACCAGAUUAUUUUUAGACACCACAAUCUAGUAAGGAAGAGGGUGA
Long non-coding RNA from Osmerus eperlanus (European smelt), 1466 nucleotides. RefSeq lists it as uncharacterized. The record is from RefSeq and is a predicted model, not a curated record. NCBI's taxonomy places the organism in Eukaryota, Metazoa, Chordata, Actinopteri, Osmeriformes, Osmeridae. The transcript has 4 exons.